CCAGACUCCUACGGGAGGCAGCAGUGAGGAAUAUUGGUCAAUGGGCGAGAGCCUGAACCAGCCAAGUCGCGUGAGGGAAGACGGUCCUAUGGAUUGUAAACCUCUUUUGCCGGGGAGCAAAAAGCGGUACGUGUACCGCAUCGAGAGUACCCGGAGAAAAAGCAUCGGCUAACUCCGUGCCAGCAGCCGCGGUAAUACGUAGGGGGCAAGCGUUAUCCGGAAUUAUUGGGCGUAAAGAGUACGUAGGUGGCAACCUAAGCGCAGGGUUUAAGGCAAUGGCUCAACCAUUGUUCGCCCUGCGAACUGGGAUGCUUGAGUGCAGGAGAGGAAAGCGGAAUUCCUAGUGUAGCGGUGAAAUGCGUAGAUAUUAGGAGGAACACCAGUGGCGAAGGCGGCUUUCUGGACUGUAACUGACACUGAGGUACGAAAGCGUGGGGAGCAAACAGGAUUAGAUACCCCCGUA
RNAcentral lists this ribosomal RNA (463 nucleotides) under uncultured bacterium. RNAcentral's name for it is "bacterial SSU rRNA". It matches the Rfam family "Bacterial small subunit ribosomal RNA", at positions 331 to 792 of the family's 1533-position model. The record is from RNAcentral.